This 219-nucleotide unclassified non-coding RNA is filed under the name Hevea brasiliensis (rubber tree). Lineage: Eukaryota; Viridiplantae; Streptophyta; Magnoliopsida; Malpighiales; Euphorbiaceae. The record is from RNAcentral.
UAAAAAAAAAAAAAAGCAUUUUCUUGCAUUAGCACUUAGCAAGUGCGUUUUGGUUUGCUUUAUUUGGAAAACGCUCGUAGGGAUUUUUCCCUCACUAUUGUCCUUCAUGUUCUUGUUGAGGCUAGUUGAAGAGAGAGCUUGCUUGCAAAAUCCACUAAUAUGAACAUCAAACUUUGUCACAAUCAAUUCUUAGAUACUCAAGUGUUAUUUAAAAUAUUG